Molecule: long non-coding RNA, 1005 nt
Filed under: Homo sapiens (human)
Lineage: Eukaryota; Metazoa; Chordata; Mammalia; Primates; Hominidae
Description: HSALNT0171170
Source: RNAcentral
GCUGCUUUCCUGUUCCGGCCGGAGGAGGAUUCUGUGACUUGAUGGGUGGGCCCUCUGCUGCUCUGGGUGUGGCUGCAUACACCCCGGGGGUCAACAGGGACGAGCGGUACAGCGGCUGGGUUGCUCUCUACCCGGUCUUCGUCCAAGCCCCUCCACAGCUGGUAAGAUCUCCGGAGCAGGACCUGCAAGCCCUCUUCAGAUCACCCCAGAACUUCCUGUCUAAAAACUGAAGCCUCUCACUGCCCAGGCAUGGCUUCUUGCUACCCUGCCCUCAGGCACAGUCCUGCACCCACCUGCGUCUGCUGUGCCAUGUCCAGGCCAGUCCCCCCCCACCACCAACACCUCUCUCUAUCUUCAUCCUCUUCCCAAUCUGGUCCUCCCACCGCUGUGGAAACCCCGUCUGCCCCCAAAGCCUAGCUUAAAAAUAAUUCCCUAGGGACCUGUGUCUCUCCCUGCCUCGGCCCCUCCUUCAUUCCUGGGUGCCUCCGGCUGUGCAGCAUUUGACACUGCAGCACCCCCCUUAAUUCGGAAGCAUGCUGUCUCCUGGACUGGUGAGUCUCCACACUAUCUGAGCCGUCUUCUCUGGAACUCUUGGCCUCUCAGUCCGUUCUGAGAAUACAGCCUUGGUAAGCACGGUGCCCACAUGAAUGUUUCCAGCAGCAGGAUUCAAAAUAGCCACAUGUCCAUCAACAGAUGAGUGGAUAAACAAAACAUGGUCCAGAAUAAUGGAAGAUUACUCAGCCCUAAAAAGAGACGAAGCUGGUGAACCUCGAGAACACGAGGCCGCGUGAACGAAGCCAGACACCGAGGACCACGUAGCGUGAGACUCUCAGUCUAUGAAAUGUGCGGAGUCGAUAAAUUCACAGAGACAGAAAGGAGAUUCACGGUUGCCAGGGGCUGGGGAGUGACAACAGAGGGAUGGGGGUGACUGUGAAAGGGUACGUGGUUUCUUUCCCAGAGGAUAAGAACGUUCUAACAUGGCCUGUCCUGUUGGCUUCACAGCUC